UUCUUUGCAUUCUUGAAGAGUGAUCUUACUUUCAAUCCCGGUACGCAAGUCAUUCAAGUUUCAAGAUGCAAGGAUUAACAUAGUAACCACUACAACCAACAACGGUAUCUUUAACAGCACCGAAUAACAGGGAAUUUACCAGAUAUCAUGUAAUAUUGUCGGAUACGAUACCCAUGUGUUUUAACUAUAUGAUUACAGUUAACGGAGCCAUACAACUUUGGGAAACACAAGCAGUGGAGGAUCGUAUAACUCUCAAACCUCAACAGUUUCUGAUGAAUCUGAAGAAAGGGGACCGAGUGUUAUGUGGAACAUCGAGGUGGAUCCCAGGAAAGCUCACGCUAAACACCAAUACUUAUUUUUCUGGAUAUU
Molecule: long non-coding RNA, 369 nt
Filed under: Mytilus galloprovincialis (Mediterranean mussel)
Lineage: Eukaryota; Metazoa; Mollusca; Bivalvia; Mytilida; Mytilidae
Source: RNAcentral